RNAcentral lists this ribosomal RNA (238 nucleotides) under uncultured bacterium. Its description in RNAcentral is "partial 16S ribosomal RNA". It matches the Rfam family "Bacterial small subunit ribosomal RNA", at positions 15 to 248 of the family's 1533-position model. The record is from RNAcentral.
GAUCAUGGCUCAGGAUGAACGCUAGCGACAGGCUUAACACAUGCAAGUCGAGGGGCAUCAUGAGGUAGCAAUACCUUGAUGGCGACCGGCGCACGGGUGAGUAACGCGUAUGCAACCUGCCCGAUACCGGGGUAUAGCCCAUGGAAACGUGGAUUAACACCCCAUAGUACUUUUAUCCUGCCUGGGAUGUGAGUUUAAAUGUUCAAGGUAUCGGAUGGGCAUGCGUCCUAUUAGUUAG